This 227-nucleotide ribosomal RNA is filed under the name uncultured bacterium. Its description in RNAcentral is "partial 16S ribosomal RNA". It matches the Rfam family "Bacterial small subunit ribosomal RNA", at positions 383 to 607 of the family's 1533-position model. The record is from RNAcentral.
CUGAACCAGCCAAGUAGCGUGAAGGAUGACUGCCCUAUGGGUUGUAAACUUCUUUUAUAAAGGAAUAAAGUCGGGUAUGCAUACCCGUUUGCAUGUACUUUAUGAAUAAGGAUCGGCUAACUCCGUGCCAGCAGCCGCGGUGAUACGGAGGAUCCGAGCGUUAUCCGGAUUUAUUGGGUUUAAAGGGAGCGUAGAUGGAUGUGUAAGUCAGUUGUGAAAGUUUGCGG